This 536-nucleotide ribosomal RNA is filed under the name uncultured bacterium. RNAcentral's name for it is "bacterial SSU rRNA". It matches the Rfam family "Bacterial small subunit ribosomal RNA", at positions 355 to 896 of the family's 1533-position model. The record is from RNAcentral.
UAGGGAAUUUUCGGCAAUGGGGGGAACCCUGACCGAGCAACGCCGCGUGAGUGAAGACGGCCUUCGGGUUGUAAAGCUCUGUUGUAAGAAAAGAUAAACUAGGAGAGGAUCUUAGUCAGACAUUAUCUUACCAGAAAGCCACGGCUAACUACGUGCCAGCAGCCGCGGUAAUACGUAGGUGGCGAGCGUUAUCCGGAAUUAUUGGGCGUAAAGGGUGCGUAGGCGGUCUGUUAAGUUCAUGGUCAAAUUGUGGGGCUCAACCCCAUCGCGCCAUGGAUACUGGCAGACUAGAGUAUUGGAGAGGCAAGUGGAAUUCCAUGUGUAGCGGUAAAAUGCGUAGAUAUAUGGAGGAACACCGGUGGCGAAGGCGACUUGCUAGCCAAAGACUGACGCUGAGGCACGAAAGCGUGGGGAGCAAAUAGGAUUAGAUACCCUAGUAGUCCACGCUGUAAACGAUGAAUACUAAGUAUUGGGGAGACUCAGUGCUGCAGCUAACGCAUUAAGUAUUCCGCCUGUGGAGUAUGCACGCAAGUGUG